Molecule: unclassified non-coding RNA, 1612 nt
Filed under: Hevea brasiliensis (rubber tree)
Lineage: Eukaryota; Viridiplantae; Streptophyta; Magnoliopsida; Malpighiales; Euphorbiaceae
Source: RNAcentral
AGAGAGAGAGAGAGAGAGAGACAAGGAAAGGACAUCUUCAUUUUCUCUUCAUUCAUGGGCUGUUCUGCUUCAAAACCCGAUACCCUCGACCCCAAGAGCGAUCGCCUUGAAGAAAAUUUUUCUCUAGAGAGCUCUGUGUUUACUUCUUCUUCCUCACCCGUCCCUAGAGCUCUCUCUCUUCAGACCCCACUUGUCCAUCACCCGCCUUCAAGAAAAGGUGAUUCCCAUCAUCUUGUGUCUCUCACCUCCACCACUUAUGGCUCUCUUCUCCUUGUUGAACCUGUAAAAUCCAAAUUGAACGGGCAAAAUCCACCUUAUCAGCUCCAUUCACCGCCCAAAUUCGCCAAAAACACUCAUAAAACACAAGCCCCUGCAGACCCUGGUGAGUCUUUUUCACCUGACUCUGUCAUCAACACUUGGGAGCUCAUGGAUGGUCUCGAUGAUGACUUGGAUUUCGAAAUGGGUGAUUCUUUGAAGCCAAAAUCAUCAUUUUCUGACCAUGCUAUACUGUUUUCCUCGAAAUCCAGUUCGUUUCAGCAUCUGGGUUUUGAUGAUUCUGUUAAAAAGCUGCAGGAUUCUUUUAAUUCUAUGAAAUCUGAAGAAAUUGCACUUCAGAACUCAUUUUCACCGUCAAAGCCACUGUGGAAGCAUUUGUCAGAGGAAUCAUUUCUAUCAAAAAUGGAUCCCAAUGUGGUCUCAAGUUACAGGCGUGCAUUAUCAUCUCGGCAGUUGGGCUACACUAGAGAAUCCACAGGUGCAAGAUCGGUGGGUUCCAGUCCCAUGAAUCCUUCACCAACCCACAACAAUGGGUUCCUUUUGCAUAAUACAGAGGAUAAAAUUGUUUUGUAUUUUACAAGUUUGAGAGGAAUUAGAAAAACUUAUGAAGACUGCUGCUCAGUUAGGAUGAUUUUCAGGGGUUUUCGAGUUCCAGUGGAUGAAAAGGACAUUUCAAUGGAUGCUUCAUACAGAAAGGAGUUGCAGAGUCUGCUUAAACUGAAAGUAGUUAGCUUGCCGCAAGUGUUUAUCCGGGGGAAGCAUAUUGGUGGAGUGGAAGAGAUCAGGCAGCUGAAUGAAACAGGUGAAUUAGCAAAGCUUUUAGAAGGGUUUCCCGUUAGAGAUCCUAGGUUGGUCUGUGACAGUUGUGGGGAUGCAAGAUUUGUUCCAUGUCCAAAUUGCAAUGGCAGUAGGAAGGUGUUUGAUGAGGAGGAAGAGCAGCUGAGGAGGUGCCUGGAUUGCAAUGAAAAUGGGUUGAUUCGCUGCCCUGGUUGCUGCAGCUCAUGACACUACUAAUUGUGUGAUGCAUAUUAUUUGCUCAAUUUUGGUACUAGCUUCUUCUUGAUCUUGAGGGAAUUCUAAAGACUACUGUUGCUUAAAUCUCACUAUUUUGUGAUUGCUAAUGCUAUUAAGAUAUGUUUAUUUUCUUCUGUUUUACAUGUGGUUAAGCUUUUGGGUAUUGUUGUUCAUUGCCUUUUUGAACAGUUGAAAUAAAAAUGAAAAAUUAAAAAAAAAAUCCUUUUUUAUGCUUAUUUUUGUUCAUUAUUUGGAAUUUUUAUUGGUAGUGGACAUUAAUGAAGACUGCUGCUACUGUUAGCUUUCCUUAGCAGCUCUGUUU